UACGGAGGGGGCUAGCGUUAUCCGGAUUCACUGGGUUUAAAGGGUGCGUAGGCGGGUAGGUAAGUCAGUGGUGAAAUCCUGGAGCUCAACUCCAGAACUGCCAUUGAUACUAUCUAUCUUGAAUAUUGUGGAGGUAAGCGGAAUAUGUCAUGUAGCGGUGAAAUGCUUAGAUAUGACAUAGAACACCCAUUGCGAAGGCAGCUUACUACGCAUAUAUUGACGCUGAGGCACGAAAGCGUGGGGAUCAAACAGGAUUAGAUACCCUGGUAGUCCACGCCCUAAACUAUGGAUACUCGACAUAUGCGAUACACUGUAUGUGUCUGAGCGAAAGCAUUAAGUAUCCCACCUGGGAAGUACGUUCGCAAGAAUGAAACUCAAAGGAAUUGGCGGGGGUCCGCACAAGCGGUGGAGUAUGUGGUUUAAUUCGAUGAUACGCGAGGAACCUUACCUGGGCUAGAAUGCUGGGAGACCGCUAGUGAAAGCUAGUUUUGUAGCAAUACACUGCCAGUAAGGUGCUGCAUGGCCGUCGUCAGCUCGUGCCGUGAGGUGUUGGGUUAAGUCCCGCAACGAGCGCAACCCCUAUCUUUAGUUGCCAACAGGUAAUGCUGGGAACUCUAAAGAAACUGCCGCCGUAAGGUGUGAGGAAGGAGGGGAUGAUGUCAGGUCAUCAUGGCCUUUAUGCCCAGGGCUACACACGUACUACAAUGGGGGAGACAAAGGGCUGCAACAUAGCGGUAUGAAGCCAAUCCCAAAAACUCCCUCUCAGUUCAGAUUGCAGGCUGCAACUCGCCUGCAUGAAGCUGGAAUCGCUAGUAAUCGUAUAUCAGCAAUGAUACGGUGAAUACGUUCCCGGACCU
This 857-nucleotide ribosomal RNA is filed under the name uncultured bacterium. RNAcentral's name for it is "SSU rRNA". It matches the Rfam family "Bacterial small subunit ribosomal RNA", at positions 524 to 1381 of the family's 1533-position model. The record is from RNAcentral.